RNAcentral lists this ribosomal RNA (181 nucleotides) under Porella platyphylla. RNAcentral describes it as "partial 18S ribosomal RNA". It matches the Rfam family "Eukaryotic small subunit ribosomal RNA", at positions 1654 to 1831 of the family's 1831-position model. Lineage: Eukaryota; Viridiplantae; Streptophyta; Jungermanniopsida; Porellales; Porellaceae. The record is from RNAcentral.
UGCCUUUGUACACACCGCCCGUCGCUCCUACCGAUUGAAUGGUCCGGUGAAGUUUUCGGAUUGCGGCGACGCCGGCGGUUCGCCGCCGGUGACGUUGUGAGAAGUUUAUUAAACCUUAUCAUUUAGAGGAAGGAGAAGUCGUAACAAGGUUUCCGUAGGUGAACCUGCGGAAGGAUCAUUG